UUGGUUUCACCCGAAGAUGGUGCGCUAACCUUUUAGGAGGCAGCCAGCCACGGUGGGAUCAGCGACUGGGGUGAAGUCGUAACARGGUAGCYGUAGGUGAACCUGCAGAAGGAUCA
Molecule: ribosomal RNA, 116 nt
Filed under: uncultured eukaryote
Lineage: Eukaryota
Description: partial small subunit ribosomal RNA
Source: RNAcentral